AACGAACGCUGGCGGCAGGCCUAAAACAUGCAAGUCGAACGAACCUUCGGGUUAGUGGCGCACGGGUGAGUAACGCGUGGGAAUGUGCCUCUGGGUGCGGAAUAACGUAGGGAAACUUACGCUAAUACCGCAUAAUAUCUACGGAUCAAAGAUUUAUCGCCCAGAGAUCAGCCCGCGUUAGAUUAGGUAGUUGGGGAGGUAAUGGCUCACCAAGCCUACGAUCUAUAGCUGGUCUGAGAGGAUGAUCAGCCACACUGGAACUGAGACACGGUCCAGACUUCUACGGGAGGCAGCAGUUAGGAAUAUUGGACAAUGGGGGCAACCCUGAUCCAGCCAUGCCGCGUGUGUGAUGAAGGCCUUAGGGUUGUAAAGCACUUUCGUCCGCGAAGAUAAUGACGGUACUAUAUGAAUAAGCACCGGCUAACUCCGUGCCAGCCGCCGCAGUAA
RNAcentral lists this ribosomal RNA (447 nucleotides) under uncultured bacterium. Its description in RNAcentral is "partial 16S ribosomal RNA". It matches the Rfam family "Bacterial small subunit ribosomal RNA", at positions 29 to 523 of the family's 1533-position model. The record is from RNAcentral.